GGGCGUGGAUGCGGCUGUGCUUCAGCGUCACCGUGGUGCGCGUAAGCGGAAUCGAUUUGCGCUCGGCAUAAAGCCGCAUCGUCAUCGAUGUGCAGGCGCCAAGAGCCCCGAGCAGGAAGUCGUAAGGGCCGGUCCAUGCCGCCCACAUCCAGAGGCUCGUCCCCGAUUACGCGGUGCCUGCCGGCCGCAAUCACAUUCUGAAGCUUGCCUGCGCCGGUUUCGCU
RNAcentral lists this unclassified non-coding RNA (224 nucleotides) under Hevea brasiliensis (rubber tree). Lineage: Eukaryota; Viridiplantae; Streptophyta; Magnoliopsida; Malpighiales; Euphorbiaceae. The record is from RNAcentral.